RNAcentral lists this ribosomal RNA (348 nucleotides) under uncultured bacterium. RNAcentral describes it as "bacterial SSU rRNA". It matches the Rfam family "Bacterial small subunit ribosomal RNA", at positions 8 to 352 of the family's 1533-position model. The record is from RNAcentral.
AGAGUUUGAUCAUGGCUCAGAGUGAACGCUGGCGGUAGGCCUAACACAUGCAAGUCGAACGGCAGCACAGAGGAGCUUGCUCCUUGGGUGGCGAGUGGCGGACGGGUGAGGAAUACAUCGGAAUCUACUCUGUCGUGGGGGAUAACGUAGGGAAACUUACGCUAAUACCGCAUACGACCUACGGGUGAAAGCAGGGGAUCUUCGGACCUUGCGCGAUUGAAUGAGCCGAUGUCGGAUUAGCUAGUUGGCGGGGUAAAGGCCCACCAAGGCGACGAUCCGUAGCUGGUCUGAGAGGAUGAUCAGCCACACUGGAACUGAGACACGGUCCAGACUCCUACGGGAGGCAGC